ACGCACGCUGGCGGCAGGCCUAACACAUGCAAGUCGAGCGGACCCUUCGGGGUUAGCGGCGGACGGGUGAGUAACGCGUGGGAACGUGCCCUUUGCUUCGGAAUAGCCCUGGGAAACUGGGAGUAAUACCGGAUACGCCCUUUUGGGGAAAGAUUUAUCGGCGAAGGAUCGGCCCGCGUUGGAUUAGGUAGUUGGUGGGGUAAUGGCCUACCAAGCCGACGAUCCAUAGCUGGUUUGAGAGGAUGAUCAGCCACACUGGGACUGAGACACGGCCCAGACUCCUACGGGAAGCAGCAGUGGGGAAUCUUAGACAAUGGGGGAAACCCUGAUCUAGCCAUGCCGCGUGAGCGAUGAAGGCCUUAGGGUUGUAAAGCUCUUUCACCGGGGAAGAUAAUGACGGUACCCGGAGAAGAAGCCCCGGCUAACUCCGUG
This 432-nucleotide ribosomal RNA is filed under the name uncultured bacterium. Its description in RNAcentral is "partial 16S ribosomal RNA". It matches the Rfam family "Bacterial small subunit ribosomal RNA", at positions 29 to 507 of the family's 1533-position model. The record is from RNAcentral.